AGUGAACGCUGGCGGCAGGCCUAAUACAUGCAAGUCGAACGGCAGCACAGCAGAGCUUGCUCUGUGGGUGGCGAGUGGCGGACGGGUGAGGAAUACAUGGGAAUCUGCCCAGUCGUGGGGGAUAACGUAUGGAAACGUACGCUAAUACCGCAUGCGCCCUAAGGGGGAAAGCCGGGGACCGCAAGGCCUGGCGCGAUUGGAUGAGCCCAUGUUCGAUUAGCUAGUUGGCGGGGUAAAGGCCCACCAAGGCGACGAUCGAUAGCUGGUCUGAGAGGAUGAUCAGCCACACUGGAACUGAGACACGGUCCAGACUCCUACGGGAGGCAGCAGUAGGGAAUAUUGGACAAUGGGCGCAAGCCUGAUCCAGCAAUGCCGCGUGCAGG
This 383-nucleotide ribosomal RNA is filed under the name uncultured bacterium. Its description in RNAcentral is "bacterial SSU rRNA". It matches the Rfam family "Bacterial small subunit ribosomal RNA", at positions 30 to 407 of the family's 1533-position model. The record is from RNAcentral.